Molecule: microRNA precursor, 59 nt
Filed under: Canis lupus familiaris (dog)
Lineage: Eukaryota; Metazoa; Chordata; Mammalia; Carnivora; Canidae
Description: Cfa-Mir-34-P2a_pre stem-loop
Source: RNAcentral
AGGCAGUGUAAUUAGCUGAUUGUCCUCUGCUGCUUACAAUCACUAACUCCACUGCCAUC